This is a long non-coding RNA of Lathyrus oleraceus (garden pea), 1336 nucleotides long. RefSeq lists it as uncharacterized. NCBI's taxonomy places the organism in Eukaryota, Viridiplantae, Streptophyta, Magnoliopsida, Fabales, Fabaceae. The record is from RefSeq and is a predicted model, not a curated record. The transcript has 2 exons.
AAGACCAAAUUAAAAUUCUAAAGUCAAACAAUAUCAAAGUUAAUAUCAAGUUAUUUCUAACAUCAACAAACAAUUAUCAAAAAAUAAUAUUCAACAAAUCAAGCAUUAGAAUUAAAAAUCAAUUUAAUACUAAUAAAUCCUAAACUAAUCCUACUAUUAAUCUAAUUAUCCUAAUAAUCCUAUAAUUAACCUAAACUUAAAUCCUAAAAACUCAACUUAAUCCUAAUUAAACUAAUGAAUUAGUUAAACUAGGAGAUAACACAAGGCCAUGGACUAUUAAGCCCAAACCCGGGGGGGGGGGGGAGAAACAAGUUUAUGGAGUGUGUGUUGGUAGAAGAGUUCAGUUUGAGCCUUAAGGAGAUUAAGCCCAAUCUGAGGGAUCAAAAGGAAGGACUACACGAUUCUCUUCCUUCCUCACUCGUUCAUGGCCGCAGCUCACCAGAAGAAGAAGAAGAAGAAAAACAACCACGCGGAUCCUGGCCGCAACAGUAAACUUGGCCGUGUCGGGUUUCGUCACCGGCAGCGGCGAUUCGUAGCAGUGACAAACACAUCAUCUCGACCUACGUCUCUCUCGGCAUAAACACAACUCAAUAACGAAACGAUCUGCGAUGUAAAUCCUACCGGCAACGGCGACGACGAAUUCAGAGCUUAGGUAACCAAACUUGCUUCGAUUCGUUAAUCCUCUUCCUUUCCUCUACUGGGAAUUUCCUGAUUUUUUGAGGAGUUAUUGAUCUUGUGGUAAACGAAGUCGUUCGUCCUUUGGUUCGAUUUGCAGAAAUUGUUAUGGUUCAGUGCCGAAUUUUGCAGAAGAAGGUGGUGAAAGAUGCGCAGGUGAGAAUCGGUUAUGAUUCUGUAUGGUUGCAUCGGGGUAAGAGAAGAGAGUUUCGGUUAGGUUGAAGAAGAAAGAAGUGAGAUAUGCAAAAUUGAUUCUGGUCUUUCAAAGAAAGAAAAAGAAAAAAGCAGCCUUCACUUGUGAAUCACCGUGCUUAUAUAGACUCUUAAGUUGCUGUACUGCGUUUGGAGCUGGUGGCUGCAGCUUUGGAUUUUGCUGUUAUUUCUGCGUUUGCAUUUCACUUUGUUGCGUUUGCGUUUCGCUUUGUCAACUUUGGUGCGUCGUUUGGAAGCUGCGUUCUGGACUUGGCUUACACGUUGUUUGGCUUGUACUGCUUAUUCUUGCAGCUGGUUUUUGACUUUUGUGUUGUUUUUCAGUUGUGGCUUUAUGCAGCUUUUCAAAUUGCUUUUCACAUUGCACUGCAAUUUCCUCAAUUGGAUAUGUCAAUGGAUAUGAAUGGACAUUGGUUAUUUGAAAUCGGAUUUUGAAUUAAAAUGGGCUUAA